Molecule: long non-coding RNA, 616 nt
Organism: Bos taurus (domestic cattle)
Lineage: Eukaryota; Metazoa; Chordata; Mammalia; Artiodactyla; Bovidae
Source: Ensembl
CCAUGAUGAAGGCCCCUGCCCACAGCUCACCCCUUCCUCUCUGGUCCUGACCAAUCCUGGUGUUUCCCCAUGUGGACCCUCCUGGAGCAGCAUGCCCCUUUCUCUUGGAAAUUGAAACAGGGAGUGAAUGCCGAGUGGUUCCACAAUGUCCGGUGCAGUAAUCUGAUAGCAACAGAAACAUGAAGAAUAAAGAAGUGACUCAAGCAGCUCGCAACAAUGGAGGUUUGCUCCCAGUCUCUGCAACAGACACAUUUCCAAUCACCAGGCUUCUGUGGAUUUAUGCCCUCUUCCUGACUUAAACAGCAGCUCUCAGAAAGCAAUGGCUUUCUGCAUUGAGAUCUGGAGGGUUUGUUAGAAAUUCUGCAAGCAUAUAUCUGAUGUAUCACCAAAUUAGAGAGAAUUGUGAGCAAAGAAGAAAAAUUCUUAAAUUCACAAAUUAUGCAACUGAUUACCCCAACAACAAUUAUUUUUAAUACAUGCAUUUUGCCUUGAUUUUUGCAUUUGGGGGAAGUAAUAUAUGGUAUGAAAACAAGACUAGCAAGCAACAUUUCAUUUGUUCCUUCUUAUGAAGCAGAAUGAGGGAAUGCAUCCAAAACCACUUUGUGAGUCCUAAUGC